GUCCGCACGAGCGUACCCCUGUCUUCAGUUGCCAUCGGGUGAUGCCGGGCACUCUGGAGAGACUGCCCAGGAUAACGGGGAGGAAGGUGGGGAUGACGUCAAGUCAGCAUGGCCUUUACGCCCAGGGCUACACACGUGCUACAAUGGCCGGUACAAAGGGCUGCCAACCCGCGAGGGUGAGCGAAUCCCAAAAAGCCGGUCUAAGUUCGGAUUGUAGUCUGCAACUCGACUGCAUGAAGUCGGAAUCGCUAGUAAUCGUGUAUCAGCAACGAUACGGUGAAUACGUUCCCGGGCCUUGUACACACCGCCCGUCAAGCCAUGGAAGCCGGGAGUGCCCGUAGUCUGUGACCCAACCUAGUGAGGGAGCAGCCGAAGGUAAGUUCGGUGACUGGGGCUAAGUCGUAACAAGGUAGCCGUAGGGGAACCUGCGGCUGGAUCA
Molecule: ribosomal RNA, 439 nt
Filed under: uncultured Gammaproteobacteria bacterium
Lineage: Bacteria; Pseudomonadati; Pseudomonadota; Gammaproteobacteria
Description: bacterial SSU rRNA
Rfam family: Bacterial small subunit ribosomal RNA
Source: RNAcentral